RNAcentral lists this ribosomal RNA (253 nucleotides) under uncultured bacterium. Its description in RNAcentral is "partial 16S ribosomal RNA". It matches the Rfam family "Bacterial small subunit ribosomal RNA", at positions 524 to 776 of the family's 1533-position model. The record is from RNAcentral.
UACGGAGGGUGCAAACGUUGCUCGGAAUCAUUGGGCGUAAAGCGCGCGUAGGCGGCUGAACAAGUUGGAUGUGAAAGCCCUGGGCUCAACCUAGGAUGUGCAUUCAAAACUGUUCGGCUUGAAUCUCGGAGGGGGUCAGAGAAUUCCCGGUGUAGAGGUGAAAUUCGUAGAUAUCGGGAGGAACACCAGUGGCGAAGGCGCUGACCUGGACGAUGAUUGACGCUGAGGCGCGAAAGCGUGGGGAGCAAACAGG